RNAcentral lists this ribosomal RNA (253 nucleotides) under uncultured bacterium. RNAcentral's name for it is "partial 16S ribosomal RNA". It matches the Rfam family "Bacterial small subunit ribosomal RNA", at positions 524 to 776 of the family's 1533-position model. The record is from RNAcentral.
UACGUAGGGGGCUAGCGUUGUCCGGAAUUACUGGGCGUAAAGGGCGCGUAGGCGGGAUGGCAAGUCGGUCGUGAAAUCCCUCGGCUCAACUGAGGAUCGUCGAUCGAUACUGCCGUUCUUGAGGAUUGCAGAGGAGACUGGAAUUCCCGGUGUAGCGGUGAAAUGUGUAAAGAUCGGGAGGAACACCGGUGGCGAAGGCGGGUCUCUGGGCAAUUCCUGACGCUGAGGCGCGAAAGCGUGGGGAGCAAACGGG